AGGGUUCCAAUAACAUCUUUGAAA
RNAcentral lists this non-coding RNA (24 nucleotides) under Arabidopsis thaliana (thale cress). The record is from RNAcentral. Lineage: Eukaryota; Viridiplantae; Streptophyta; Magnoliopsida; Brassicales; Brassicaceae.